Molecule: ribosomal RNA, 253 nt
Filed under: uncultured prokaryote
Description: partial 16S ribosomal RNA
Rfam family: Bacterial small subunit ribosomal RNA
Source: RNAcentral
ACGUAGGCAGCGAGCGUUGUUCGGAAUUACUGGGCGUAAAGAGUGUGUAGGCGGUGCUCCCAGUCUGUUGUGAAAUCUCCCGGCUUAACCGGGAGGGUGCGGCGAAUACUGAGAUGCUGGAGUGCCGGAGAGGUAAGCGGAAUUCCUGGUGUAGCGGUGAAAUGCGUAGAUAUCAGGAGGAACACCUGCGGUGUAGACGGCUUACUGGACGGUAACUGACGCUGAGGCACGAAAGCGUGGGUAGCAAACAGGA